GGGGCGUAAGCGCGCGCAGGUGGUUUGUUAAGUCGGAUGUGAAAGCCCCCGGCUCAACCGGGGAGGGGCAUUGGAAACUGGGAGACUUGAGUGCAGAAGAGGAUGGUGGAAUUCCCUGUGUAGCGGUGAAAUGCGUAGAGAUAUGAAGGAACACCAGUGGCGAAGGCGACCUCCUGGACUGAAACUGACACUGAGGCGCGAAAGCGUGGGGAGCAAACACGAUUACAUACCC
Molecule: ribosomal RNA, 232 nt
Filed under: Bacillus cereus
Lineage: Bacteria; Bacillati; Bacillota; Bacilli; Caryophanales; Bacillaceae
Description: partial 16S ribosomal RNA
Rfam family: Bacterial small subunit ribosomal RNA
Source: RNAcentral